GCGUGUCACUCCUACGGGAGGCAGCAGUGGGGAAUAUUGCACAAUGGGCGCAAGCCUGAUGCAGCCAUGCCGCGUGUAUGAAGAAGGCCUUCGGGUUGUAAAGUACUUUCAGCGGGGAGGAAGGGAGUAAAGUUAAUACCUUUGCUCAUUGACGUUACCCGCAGAAGAAGCACCGGCUAACUCCGUGCCAGCAGCCGCGGUAA
RNAcentral lists this ribosomal RNA (203 nucleotides) under Lactiplantibacillus plantarum. Its description in RNAcentral is "partial 16S ribosomal RNA". It matches the Rfam family "Bacterial small subunit ribosomal RNA", at positions 328 to 523 of the family's 1533-position model. Lineage: Bacteria; Bacillati; Bacillota; Bacilli; Lactobacillales; Lactobacillaceae. The record is from RNAcentral.